GGUGUACACCCCACCACCGCUCCCAAUGCCAAGUUUAACCCCCGGAGCCCGGCGAGCAACAAGUGGCGCGGAUUGAUUUGACAAUUUCCUUAGAAAGCCUGCCAGGUGCUUCUGAAUGACCCCGAGAAAAACAUCACAUCCACGUUGGUGCCUAUGGACAGUACAAAUGGUUAAGCUGGCA
Echinops telfairi (small Madagascar hedgehog) is the source of this 181-nucleotide long non-coding RNA. RefSeq lists it as uncharacterized. NCBI's taxonomy places the organism in Eukaryota, Metazoa, Chordata, Mammalia, Afrosoricida, Tenrecidae. The record is from RefSeq and is a predicted model, not a curated record. The transcript is spliced from 3 exons.